AGACCGCGAGGCAGAGCAAACCCUAAAAAGUACGUCUCAGUUCGGAUUGCAGGCUGCAACUCGCCUGCAUGAAGUCGGAAUUGCUAGUAAUCGCAGAUCAGCAUGCUGCGGUGAAUACGUUCCCGGGCCUUGUACACACCGCCCGUCACACCAUGGGAGUCGGUAACACCCGAAGUCGGUAGUCUAACCGAAAGGAGGACGCCGCCGAGGGUGGGAUUGAUGACUGGGGUGAAGUCGUAACAAGGUAGC
This 249-nucleotide ribosomal RNA is filed under the name uncultured bacterium. RNAcentral describes it as "partial 16S ribosomal RNA". It matches the Rfam family "Bacterial small subunit ribosomal RNA", at positions 1252 to 1500 of the family's 1533-position model. The record is from RNAcentral.